This 16-nucleotide ribosomal RNA is filed under the name Colletotrichum gloeosporioides. Its description in RNAcentral is "partial 18S ribosomal RNA". Lineage: Eukaryota; Fungi; Ascomycota; Sordariomycetes; Glomerellales; Glomerellaceae. The record is from RNAcentral.
CUGCGGAGGGGUAACC